RNAcentral lists this ribosomal RNA (478 nucleotides) under uncultured bacterium. Its description in RNAcentral is "partial 16S ribosomal RNA". It matches the Rfam family "Bacterial small subunit ribosomal RNA", at positions 28 to 507 of the family's 1533-position model. The record is from RNAcentral.
GAUGAACGCUGGCGGCGUGCUUAACACAUGCAAGUCGAACGAGAAGUGAAGACGGAAACCUUCGGGCGGAAGGCUUUAUUUCGAGUGGCGGACGGGUGAGUAACGCGUGGGUAACCUGCCUCAUACAGGGGGAUAACAGUUGGAAACGACUGUUAAUGCCGCAUAAGACCACAGCACCGCAUGGUGCGGGGGUAAAAACUCCGGUGGUAUGAGAUGGACCCGCGUUCGAUUAGCCAGUUGGCGGGGUAACGGCCCACCAAAGCGACGAUCGAUAGCCGAUCUGAGAGGAUGACCGGCCACAUUGGGACUGAGACACGGCCCAAACUCCUACGGGAGGCAGCAGUGGGGAAUAUUGCACAAUGGGGGAAACCCUGAUGCAGCGACGCCGCGUGAGUGAAGAAGUAUUUCGGUAUGUAAAGCUCUAUCAGCAGGGAAGAAAAUGACGGUACCUGAGUAAGAAGCCCCGGCUAACUACGUG